GACGAACGCUGGCGGCGUGCUUAACACAUGCAAGUCGAACGGAAAGGCCCUGCUUUUGUGGGGUGCUCGAGUGGCGAACGGGUGAGUAACACGAGAGUAACCUGCCCUUGACUUUGGGAUAACUUCAGGAAACUGGGGCUAAUACCGGAUAGGAGCCCCUGCUGCAUGGAGGGGGUUGGAAAGUUUCGGCGGUUGGGGAUGGAGUCGCGGCUUAUCAGCUUGUUGGUGGGGUAGUGGCUUACCAAGGCUUUGACGGGUAGCCGGCCUGAGAGGGUGACCGGCCACAUAGGGAUAGGGGAGGGACCCGUGCGGAUUAGUGGGGAAGGGGCGGAGAAUUGAGCAAAAUGGGCGGAGGCGUGAUAGAGGACCGCCGCGUGGGAGAUGACGGCUUUCGGGAUGUAAAACGAUUAGGCCUGUGACGAGGCGUGAGGGACGGAAAUGGAUAAAGAGGCACCGGCUACCUACGU
Molecule: ribosomal RNA, 467 nt
Filed under: uncultured bacterium
Lineage: Bacteria
Description: partial 16S ribosomal RNA
Rfam family: Bacterial small subunit ribosomal RNA
Source: RNAcentral